RNAcentral lists this ribosomal RNA (253 nucleotides) under uncultured bacterium. RNAcentral's name for it is "partial 16S ribosomal RNA". It matches the Rfam family "Bacterial small subunit ribosomal RNA", at positions 524 to 776 of the family's 1533-position model. RNAcentral also lists the same sequence under 1 other name. The record is from RNAcentral.
UACGUAGGUGGCAAGCGUUGUCCGGAAUUACUGGGUGUAAAGCGCGUGUAGGCGGCAGACCAAGUCGGCGGUGAAAGCGCCCGGCUCAACUGGGCGAGGUCCGUGGAAACUGGUCAGCUGGAGGACGGUAGAGGCGAGUGGAAUUCCCGGUGUAGUGGUGAAAUGCGUAGAGAUCGGGAGGAACACCUGUGGCGAAGGCGGCUCGCUGGGCCGGUCCUGACGCUGAGACGCGAAGGCGUGGGGAGCGAACGGG